UCUCUCUCUCUCAUUUAUUUCAAUCAAGCUCUGAAAAAUUCAGAGCACUAUUCUCUCCCUCCCUCUCAAUUUUGUUGCUCUCUCUCUCUCUCUCUCUCUCUCUCUCUCUCUCUCUCUCUCUUGUUUCUUCAAGGAAACCUCCAUGGAAGCUUGAGAAAAUGCUUGAGAAACCAAGUUUCAAGGUCUAGAAGCUCAAGGCAGCCAUUUCUUCCCUUGUUUCUUUCUUUUCCUAGGAUUAUGAUCUAACUUGGUGAUAUUUUGGGAGAGGUUUGAAGGUAUUAAAGAAUAGUGAUGAGACCUGAAACCUGGGAGGAACACACACAACCAAAUCCUAGAACAACUAAGGUCACGAGCACAAGUAUACACAGUUGUUGUAGAAAGUAUAUAAUGAUGUUAUCCUAGCGGACAUGAGUCGAGGUUUAAUUCCAACAUUGAUUAAAUGGCUGAGAAGACUAUUCCACAGAGCUCGUAUGCAUGUGAGGAGGUAAAAGGACAAGGCAGAGACCAGUGUGGUAUGAGGACAUUACGCCAAUGGGGAAGCAUCAGAAAUUCAAGGAUCUAGUCCAAAUCCUUCAACUAAAGGAGUUGGACGAAGCGCAGUUGACAACAUUCUGUCAAUGGAGGCUGGGUGAGAUUGACAAUAGUAGGCCUAGGCGCUUGGAGGGAUGUGAUGGGACGCCUAUUUGGUCUAUGCAGUUAAAAGUUAAAAAAUUUUGCCUGGUUGACACUGUAAGUAUGAGUUCAACAAGUCUUCUACUUAAAGGUUUAUUAUAGUAAAUGACAUCAUUUUUAUCUCUUACAACACUUGGACGUCGCAAACCAUUUGAUGCGGAGACGCUUGUUCGAGUUGCCGAAGACGUAUCCUGUCAAUGCCACCAUUGUGGAUUCUAUAUUUGGCCAAACCAUGCUUGCCAUAUAUGAUGAUUGGCAGAAGAUUCCUAAUACAUACAAGUGGGAUGAUGAGCUGAUGAAGGGAGACAAAAAGAAAUUCAAGAAGUCAUGGGAUGAGUGUGAUGAGGUAUACUUCCAUAUGUCUAUCAACAACCAUUGGAUUUUAUGUGAAGCUAGUUUCAAAGAGUGGAUGAUAUCCAUCUAUGACUUGGACCACUCAAACAUCAAUCAAAAUGUGUUGGCACAUAACAUGAAUCAGCGGCGGAAGAUGCUUCCAUCUCUAUUGAAGUGUUCUGGUAUGUUGGACAAAAAUCCCCACUUGAAACUACAGCGACUGAAGCAUACCGUUGCAGAAUUUGACUGGAGGCGUAUCUCCACUAACGUAGUACCACAAUCUAAAUCAUGUGGAGAUUGCAGUGUCUUUGCAAUCAAGAACCUAGAGUUUUUGUUGGGAGACAUACCAUUAUCGUAUGCAGUGGACGAUCACAUCUAGUAUUACAGAAACAAAUUGUGUAUUAACAUAUUUUAUGAGAAUGCAUACCGUUGAUGUAUUUAUUCUCACUUCUCAGACUUUUUUUUGCUUAUACACUGUAAAGUCCUAACGAUGCAUUAGUGAUAGUUUGUCGAUGGCAUAGUGAUGCUAGAUAGUGUAUACAUUUUGUUUAUAAACUUUAAAGUUCUAACGAUGCAUUAGCGAUAGGUUAACGAUGGUAUAGCGAUAGUAUAUUGUCUAAACAUUUUGUAAAACUUGCUUACGAUGCAAUGACGAUGUCAUUACGAUUGUAGCCA
Molecule: RNA transcript, 1680 nt
Organism: Humulus lupulus (European hop)
Lineage: Eukaryota; Viridiplantae; Streptophyta; Magnoliopsida; Rosales; Cannabaceae
Exons: 5
Source: RefSeq, a predicted model, not a curated record